CAGUGCGGCACCUGUCCUGGCAGGCACUGUAUCCACCAGAGGAGAGACCCUCGGCAAACCCUCAGACGGCCAGGAGGGUCAGCGCGGGCACUGGUGCCCACUUGGGGUGAAGACUUGGGUUACUGUCUGCUGGGCCUUGCGAGGGGCUUGGGAGGGUCAUGGGGGCACUGCACUUCCCUGAGCAGGGAGCACGGGGUUAGAAGGGGCAGGGCUGCCGCGAGGGGCUGGAGGCUGGAGGGAGGUUUGGGGUGCCUCUGGUGGGUGAAGCUGGGAGCAGAGACCGUCGCAUUGGGUGUGUCGGAGCCGUUCGAGGGUGGGGGUGCCCAGCACACUGCUGUGCCAGGGACCUUGAACUGGCUGAGCAUGGAAUGGAAAUCUGGGCCUCGGUGCCUGGAGGGGCCUGAGAGCUGGGGUCCUCUGCAGACGUCCUCGGCAGCACCCAGCACAGUCGGGCCUUAGGACUGGAGGUACACAGCGGCCACCCUGAGCUCCCACAGCAGUGCUGUCUCUCAGGCACCUCUCCCUUCAGGAACCCAAGCCCUGAACCCCAACACCCCUGAGCUCGGACCCCAAAUCCAGCCCUGGCCUAGGAGAUGGUGGCCUUUUGGCUCUCCCCACUUUAAGGAAAGCUUUGGGGUGGAAGUGACACUGUGCUCCUUGCUGAGGAAGAGGUUGGGUUCCACAGCAGCAGACGUGCGGGGCCUUGGAAGUUGGGGGGUGGGGAAGCUCCUCUCGAUUAAAUGCUGAGCCUGUCGUUUUCCCCAGGUCAGUGGCCCCGCGUCCCCAACGUGGUGGUGUGCAGCCCCCCCAGGGGCCAGCAGAGGGCGAGCUUGCUUUUCUCCUUUAAGUCCGAAACUGACUCCCGGAGAAUUUAUAGACAUGUGGGAGCCCACUGGCCUCGCCGCUGGUGUGUGGCCGCGUUUGUGGGUGCUGGUCAACACCUUGCUCCACAAGGAAAUACUUCUGUGAGUUGUGACGAAAAUAUACUUUUUGCAAUGCGAAA
This 1003-nucleotide long non-coding RNA is filed under the name Homo sapiens (human). RNAcentral describes it as "non-protein coding lnc-MAEA-1:2". The record is from RNAcentral. Lineage: Eukaryota; Metazoa; Chordata; Mammalia; Primates; Hominidae.